CCUACGGGAGGCAGCAGUGAGGAAUAUUGGUCAAUGGCCGUAAGGCUGAACCAGCCAAGUAGCGUGAGGGAAGAAUGCCCUAUGGGUUGUAAACCUCUUUUAUGCGGGGAUAAAGGUGUCCACGUGUGGCUGUUUGCAGGUACCGCAUGAAUAAGGACCGGCUAAUUCCGUGCCAGCAGCCGCGGUAAUACGGAAGGUCCGGGCGUUAUCCGGAUUUAUUGGGUUUAAAGGGAGCGUAGGCCGGUCUUUAAGCGUGCCGUGAAAUUUUGUGGCUCAACCAUGAGAGUGCGGCGUGAACUGGAGACCUUGAGUGCGCGGAAGGCAGGCGGAAUUCGUGGUGUAGCGGUGAAAUGCGUAGAUAUCACGAAGAACCCCGAUGGCGAAGGCAGCCUGCCGCAGCGUUACUGACGCUGAAGCUCGAAAGCGCGGGUAUCGAACAGGAUUAGAUACCCGUGUAGUC
This 460-nucleotide ribosomal RNA is filed under the name uncultured bacterium. RNAcentral describes it as "partial 16S ribosomal RNA". It matches the Rfam family "Bacterial small subunit ribosomal RNA", at positions 338 to 795 of the family's 1533-position model. The record is from RNAcentral.